This 701-nucleotide ribosomal RNA is filed under the name uncultured Haplosporidia. Its description in RNAcentral is "SSU rRNA". It matches the Rfam family "Eukaryotic small subunit ribosomal RNA", at positions 1109 to 1831 of the family's 1831-position model. Lineage: Eukaryota; Endomyxa; Ascetosporea; Haplosporida. The record is from RNAcentral.
GGACUCGGGGGGAAGUAUGCUCGCAAGAGUGAAACUUAAAGGAAUUGACGGAAGGGCACCACCAGAUGUGGAGCCUGCGGCUUAAUUUGACUCAACACGGGAAAACUUACCAGGUCCAGACAUAGUCAGGAUUGACAGAUUGAAGUUCUUUCAUGAUUCUAUGCAUAGUGGUGCAUGGCCGUUCUUAGUUGGUGGAAUGAUCUGUCAGGUUAAUUCCGAUAACGAACGAGACCCCAGCCAUCUAAAUAGCUGUCACUACACUUAGUUGUGGUGUGUGCGUAAGCACGAACAGCUUCUUAGAGGGACUAUCUGUGUCAACAGGUGGAAGUGUGGGGCAAUAACAGGUCAGUGAUGCCCUUAGAUGCUCUGGGCUGCACGCGCGCUACAAUGGUGCAUUCAGCGAGGCAACCUGGCUUGAGAAGGCUGGGUAAACUUAAAAGUGCAUCUCAGUUGGGAUAGAUGAUUGCAAUUAUUCAUCUUGAACAAGGAAUAUCUAGUAAACGCAAGUCAUCAACUUGCAUUGAUUACGUCCCUGCCCUUUGUACACACCGCCCGUCGCUCCUACCGAUUGAAUAAUCCGGUGAAUUGAGUGGGUUGGAAACACGUGCUUUCUAUUUAUUUAUGCUGUGCGAGUGUCCAAGAGCUUUGUGAACCUUAUCAUUUAGAGGACGGAGAAGUCGAAGGGCGAAUUCCACAUUGGG